CUCAGUGUCUGACUCUAGCCA
This 21-nucleotide unclassified non-coding RNA is filed under the name Dictyostelium discoideum. Lineage: Eukaryota; Evosea; Eumycetozoa; Dictyosteliales; Dictyosteliaceae. The record is from RNAcentral.